AGGACGAACGCUGGCGGCGUGCUUAACACAUGCAAGUCGAGCGGUAAGGCCUUUCGGGGUACACGAGCGGCGAACGGGUGAGUAACACGUGGGUGAUCUGCCCUGCACUUCGGGAUAAGCCUGGGAAACUGGGUCUAAUACCGGAUAUGACCUCCUAUCGCAUGGUGGGUGGUGGAAAGAUUUAUCGGUGCAGGAUGGGCCCGCGGCCUAUCAGCUUGGUUGGUGGGGUAAUGGCCUACCGAAGGCGACGACGGGUAGCCGACCUGAGAGGAUGACCAGCCACAGUUGGGACUGAGAC
RNAcentral lists this ribosomal RNA (298 nucleotides) under uncultured soil bacterium. Its description in RNAcentral is "partial 16S ribosomal RNA". It matches the Rfam family "Bacterial small subunit ribosomal RNA", at positions 26 to 325 of the family's 1533-position model. The record is from RNAcentral.